Molecule: transfer RNA, 72 nt
Filed under: Myotis davidii
Lineage: Eukaryota; Metazoa; Chordata; Mammalia; Chiroptera; Vespertilionidae
Rfam family: tRNA
About the family: Transfer RNA (tRNA) molecules are approximately 80 nucleotides in length. Their secondary structure includes four short double-helical elements and three loops (D, anti-codon, and T loops). Further hydrogen bonds mediate the characteristic L-shaped molecular structure. tRNAs have two regions of fundamental functional importance: the anti-codon, which is responsible for specific mRNA codon recognition, and the 3' end, to which the tRNAs corresponding amino acid is attached (by aminoacyl-tRNA synthetases). tRNAs cope with the degeneracy of the genetic code in two manners: having more than one tRNA (with a specific anti-codon) for a particular amino acid; and 'wobble' base-pairing, i.e. permitting non-standard base-pairing at the 3rd anti-codon position.
Source: Rfam by way of RNAcentral
GCCAGUGUGGCUCAGUGGAUAGAGCGUGGGCCUGCGGAUUUAAGGGUCCCAGUUCGAUUCCGGGCAAGGGCA